GUGCGAGACCGAUAGCGAACAAGUACCGUGAGGGAAAGAUGAAAAGAACUUUGAAAAGAGAGUUAAAGAGUACCUGAAACUGCUGAAAGGGAACCGAAUCGUUUCCAGUGUCUAUAAUCUGCGGCAUAUUUCAUUGGCGAGUAGAUGUGUGUGGCGUUUUGUAAGUAGUUUUCUGCUGCUGGCGUUGCUUUGCGUUUGCUUGUUGGUGCCCUGUGCUGUGGUGGGACGUCAGAGUCAGUUCGUAUACUGCGGGAAAUGGUUGCUGGGGAGGUAGGUCGCUUCGGUGGCUAUUAUAUCCUGGUGACUAGUCGUCGUGGUUGGGACUGAGGUGCCUAC
Molecule: ribosomal RNA, 336 nt
Filed under: uncultured Oomycota
Lineage: Eukaryota; Oomycota
Description: eukaryotic LSU rRNA
Rfam family: Eukaryotic large subunit ribosomal RNA
Source: RNAcentral